This 253-nucleotide ribosomal RNA is filed under the name uncultured bacterium. Its description in RNAcentral is "partial 16S ribosomal RNA". It matches the Rfam family "Bacterial small subunit ribosomal RNA", at positions 524 to 776 of the family's 1533-position model. The record is from RNAcentral.
UACAGAGGUCCCAAGCGUUGUUCGGAUUCAUUGGGCGUAAAGGGUGCGUAGGCGGCGCGGUAAGUCGGGUGUGAAAUCUCGGGGCUUAACUCCGGAACUGCAUUCGAUACUGCCGUGCUUGAGGACUGGAGAGGAGACUGGAAUUUACGGUGUAGCGGUGAAAUGCGUAGAUAUCGUAAGGAAGACCAGUGGCGAAGGCGGGUCUCUGGACAGUUCCUGACGCUGAGGCACGAAGGUCAGGGGAGCAAACGGG